UCCAUAAACGUUUUGCAUAUAAUUGCCUGUAGUUAUCAGUUUAUUCACAUUUAAAAUCUUUUUAAAUAUUUUGAAAUGAUCUAAAAAUUAAGAUGGUCGAAAAUGGGUCGAAAAACAGUAAACGAAUCAAAAAAAUGGCAAAGUGUUAAAAAGGAUGGCUUCAUAAUCAGUAACAAAGAAAUGAAGAUUAAAAAUUUUAAAAAAUCACGUCAAAAAACUCAGAAAAUGUUGAAAACAAUAAGUGGCAACCAACUUCAUGCAGAAUCCGGAAAGUUUAAAAAAAAAAGGAGUGCAAAAGUAAUCUUAUAUUUCGUCAAGAGCCAAAUCAAGGUUAAAAAGUUGUGAACUAACAGAUUAGUUACUUCAAAAAAUUCAAUCAUAAAAUAUGUCUUGCUUUAAAUAUAUAUAAAAACGUUAAAGAUCAGUAGCCAUCGAUUGAAACAAAGGGUGACAGUUUCAUCAAGAUUUAGAGCCUUAUCACGCAGCUUGUACAUUCAAAAGAUGAAAGAAAACAAAGUAGAUUUACUGCCCUGGCCAGCUCAAUCAUCAGAUAUGAAUUCAAAUAAAUUUGUUCGGGUCUGGAUGAUCAACGAGUAAAUCAAGGUUCAAUUAAGAUCCAUAAACACCCAAAAGCAUUCCAGGAAGACCUGAAAAUCUUGAGCACCGAGGAUAAGUAUUUAACUAGGAAGUACACUCCUCCUUCCUUACCGAUGACGCAAAAUAUAUCCAGAGCUCGCAUUGAACUCUGGAUCCCUUGCUUAUAAAACAAAUGCUCUAACCAUUGGUUAUUUUGAAAAUUAUGAGGUAGUAUAACACCAAGUAUUAUGACGUAGUUUAACACCAAGUUUUGCAUCUAAGGCUUAUCUAUUUUUUAACAUUUUUUUAGUUGUGCAUUUUUUUUUUUUUUUGAUGUGCAUGAGUUUAUUGGGCAUUCACACGUAAUAAAAAAAUUUUUAUACUAAAGUUA
Hydra vulgaris (swiftwater hydra) is the source of this 967-nucleotide non-coding RNA. The record is from RefSeq and is a predicted model, not a curated record. NCBI's taxonomy places the organism in Eukaryota, Metazoa, Cnidaria, Hydrozoa, Anthoathecata, Hydridae.